This 483-nucleotide long non-coding RNA is filed under the name Vigna radiata. RNAcentral describes it as "long non-coding RNA (VRAD_LNC002446)". Lineage: Eukaryota; Viridiplantae; Streptophyta; Magnoliopsida; Fabales; Fabaceae. The record is from RNAcentral.
ACCAUGGAACUGACCGAACGAUUGCGCUUCUUGAACUCUAUCCUUGAAAUCGCUGAAGAGGUCGGAGGUUUAUCCGUUGAAAUUCCCGAUAUUCCAGAUCCUCUCCUCAAGCCGUGGCAGAUUCCUCAUCCGACGCAACCGAUUAUGGCCACCUCAAAUAUGUUUCUGCGUUGAUCCAUUUCAUCCCCGUGGGUUUUAUUUUUAUUAGUUUAAUCAAUUAAUUAGGGUUAUUAGUGUGGUAACCUUUGUCAUGUGCAUUAUUAGUGUCUGUAUUAGUGUAUGUGAUGUUAGGUGUUGUUUUGCGUCAAAAUCGUGUGGUCCAGUAUGCAUUGGAUUCCUGAGAUGAACGUGAGGUACAGGGUGUAGAUGGUUAGCAGCAGCAGUGUCCUUGUCCCUUUGCGCGACUUGUAAUCAUUUUUAAUGGUGCCUGUUUUAUUUUAUGAUUAAAAUGUUAUCGCUUUAUCUCAGCAUUAGCGGAAAGUC